UGCCUCCUCCUCCCUUCUCACCCCUGGACCUGUCUGGUGCUCUGGACUGCUGGCUGACCCUGCUCUGCAUCGCUGGACCUGAGCUGCCUUUCCUGCUCAGGUGCUGUGGGGCUGCACCCUUGUUGCUGUAAAGAAACACCCAGAAGCUGAUGGCCUGGAAAGCUGGAUGUCUGAACAGGUUACAAGGCUCCAUGUUGGGAAACAGCCACCAGCAGAAAGCACCAGUGGAGCAGAGAAUGGCAUUGAGACUCAACUAGCUUUGCUGCCGGAAAGAACCGCAUCUCGCAUCUUUUGGUGGUACCGCAUACCAUAUCGGAAGCCUAGCCUGAAGGUAUGCUGCAGGGGAACAGGAGUGCACACGUGGAAGAGGCAAACCACUGGGGACAACCAAAGACAGGAACCAGAGUAAGAGAAAAGCUGCAAGAGCAAGCACAGAGCACAAGGAGCCGCGGUGGGGAGGACCCUGGCUGGCAAGGAACCAGGCAGGGAUGGAUGGUGUCACCCCAGCGUGCUGCUCAGCCGAGAGGAGAGACUGAGCUGUCUACGUGGCUGAGAGUGACUGCUACCUGAUCCUGCUGGGCACCUUAACCACCCUCUGCCUUCGCUCCCCAAUUUCCGCAGCCCACAUGAUACUUCCCUUCUGUCAAGGGAUAAUAUCCAUUAGCAGUUGCCGAGCACUCCGAUAUUCUGCUGAUCAGAGGCUUUGGUUUCCCUCUGCUUUCUCUGAAAGGGUAAGUUGUGUAAUUUCAUCUUUCAUUUUUCCAAAGACUCACAUCAAAAAAGAUCUGAGUAAAAGGGGAUUCUACUUAUAUGCAAUUUUUUUGACAGCUGUUGGUAAAACCAAGUUGUCUGGUUUUAAGUAUUUGAUGAAACCAAAGCAGCCUGCACACCUCCAACUUGACUGAACACAAUCAGAAGGCUGUAAAAAUAAAAGUGUUCCCAUGCUGUUUCGAACUGCAGUAGUUCCACAGUCACUUAAUUCCCAUGAAAGCAGACUUAUUGGAUUUUUCAAUACAGAAGCAGCACUAGCAGUUUUUGAUCUUUGAAGUUUAUGGAUGGGAUUGGGGCAGGAAGCAAAUAAGAAAAGCCUCAUAAACUAAAUUGAAUUUCAGACUCAUGAAUGUGUGCAAACAAAUUCCCCCAACACAAAUCCUGCCUGGUUUAUGCCAGAAUUCAGCUUUACUUGGCACAUUCUGAGAAAAGUGAGCAUUAGCUAGCUGAAUAGUCUCUCUUCCAGUGAUAAGAAGGGUCUUUACAUGAGGAAAGUGUGUCCAGUGACCCAUAAACCAGUAUGAAAAGAGUUCAGUGCUGCCAGUUGCAACACCGCUUAUUACUCAAUUCAAUACUUGGGUCCUUCCUGGAGCAAAGCAAGCUGCAUGUUUGGGGUGGGUAACAACUUCACAAAGAUCAGUUAUUUGUGUUCCAAUGGGCAAUUUCAAAGAACAGGUCUUGAACUGAGACACCACAAGCAUGCCCUGGCCGGUCAGCCCCAGGCAAGACUCGGAGGACUGGUGGAGGAGCGAUGGCAGCGCAGUGUGGGAAAUGCCUGCAGAGUCAUCGCUUGGGGCUCAGCUCUUUGUCAGCUGUGACAUCAGAAGUGAUGAGCAUCCUCCUAACUGGGCCCAGGCAGAGUGCAGAGCCCUUAUCCUGCAGGUGGGGAACUUCAGGCUUCACUGACUGCUCUGGAGAGUGAAGAUUCCCCACCUCCUUCCCCAUAGUAAUUUUCUGUAUCUUUGCUUAAAACCUGCAUGAGAGCACCAGCAGCAGCAUCUGCUCUCACCAGUCCAUCCAAAAGACCUGCGUAACUCAGCUUCGCAUGCUAAGGCACACUAAAACCAGUAGUAGUCUUGGUGUAUGUACUUUGGCUGUGAAGGUGCAGGGGCUCUAACCCUAAAGGUGAGCAAAUUUCUCUAGAAAGAUCAAUCCAGCAUCUGCUGUCUUAUAAAGGAAGCAUCCUUACUUGUUUCACUGAAUGCACUUGGAUCAGAAGAAAAGAAGAGGACGUUGAUCAGAUCAGAGGCUGGACCGCUGUGAUGCUGCUUCAGUGCAUUUAAAGCCCUGUCAAAGAAGAAAAUAGCGAGGUUAGAUGCACAGCGUGAAUUUCUUCAGAGACCCCUGCACACCUUAGGGCAGUGACAAGAUUCGGGGCACAGAUUCAACUCUUCCAAAGCUGAAAAAUGGUACUCCACAACAGACUAAUCCUAUCGAACUGCUGCAUCCCCCAGCCCUCACACACACCCUCACACUGCCCAGACUUCCACUUUCAACUAUUGCUCCCAUUUGAUUCAGUCAGACCCUGUGCUGAGCCUUUUCAGCACACUAAUUCAGCAAAGAGCUACUCGCUUCUCCUGCCGGGAUGGAAAAGGUUCUACGCGGACUCCAGUGAGCACCAGAGGUGAUGUAACGCAGGACCAAAACAUGUAGCUGAGUGGGGGAUGAGGGGUGGGAGAGGAGGAGGGAGGAGCAGGACCAUACCAGCCAGCAGGCAGAUAAAUUCAAGCUGUUGUGACACGGUAGCAUAACGUACCCAACCGAGUUCUCUCGGUAUGGGUUCCCUCAGCAGUGAGCAGAAAAAGGAAGGCACAUCCAAAGGGUGGGUACCUCCCCGAAGUGGAGCUGAUAUAGGGGUAAAUCCCAGACUGGUUUGGGUAGGAAGGGACCUCAAAGCCCAUCUAGUUCCACCCCUGCCAUGGGCAGGGACACCCUCCACUAGCCCAGGUUGCCCAAAGCCCCAUCCAACCUGGCCUUGAACGCUGCCAGGGAGCCAGGGGCAGCCCCAGCUUCUCUGGGCAACCUGUGCCAGGGCCUCAGCACCCUCACAGGGAAGAAUUUCUUCCUCAGAUCUCGUCUCAAUCUCCCCUCCUUCAGCUUAAGGACAUUCCCCUUUGUUUCCUUGAGCUCUUGGUGGCUCCUCGCCCAUCCCCAGGUGGAGCUCCAUGCAUUCCAGCUGGUCACUGACACAGGGGGAUAAGACAGGAAAGGAGAGAAACCAAGCCCAGUGAAUUAAACAGAUCUGGCUCAGAAGAGCUUUUCAAGAAUAAACAUGGCAAUUCCUAGUAUGCUUCUGCACUCCUGAGCAGAGUGACCGUAAGUGAACUGCAACCCCGUGGCCCUUACUUUUUUAGCCUGUUGUAGGUGACAUCGUUGGCUAAUUUCAGCAGGCGAUAAGAGCUCUCUCGGUCCAAGCUCAGCAUGCCAUCUCGAGAUUCCUCAAAGGCAACAGUCACUGCUUUGGAGGUGACCCGUGUUACGAUGCCGGUGGAGAGUGGAUCACCCUGGCCAGCUGAAUCAUAAAGGCCCACUAUGUCCCCUGCAAAGACAAGUUUGAAGAGAGCGUGAAGUGGGGCAAACACCUGGAAAAGAAGCUCUUUCGGGGAGACCAGCCACCAAGCACAGUCCCGUGCAGACAGCAGGACCACCUACACCAGCCACAGCUCUAGCACCGUGUUUCCUGCCAAGGUCACAACUUGUCAAGCCCAUAAACGGAGAAUAUCCUUCUCUUAGGUGACAGGCAGCCCACAGCAGGAGGGAGCACAAGGACAAUUAGCAGCGAGAAGACACCUGACAGCAACUAACCGGCUGCCUUCAGGCCUUGGGGUGGAGAUGAGCAGUGCUCCCCGCAGCCAGAGCUGCUCUGAAAGCCAAUGUGCUUUCACACAGACCUUGGGAGAACCUGACUUCUCUGAACUCUCAGACAAACCAUUUUACAUCCAUUUUGUUUUUUAAUAAUAGCUAAGGAGUCUGCAAGACAAUGUCUGCCUCCCAGAUGACUGCUAUAUGCCAGCCAGCAGAAGGAAGAAAGACCAGAGAUUUUUAAGGACUCGCUACAGCUUUUCAGUCACUGUGAGAUGAUGAAAGAGUGGAAUUACAUAGUGUAAUGAUGAAAUGGGGGUUUUGAGCAGGAUGUUUGAUUAAGUUUGUAACUUAGCCGGGGCUCACAUUCAUUGAGGAUUAGAUUUCAGAUUUACAAACUAUGUGAAGCUCUCCUCUGUAAGGUCCACCAGCUCUUACAUUAAAAUGCCUGUGGCGCAGGAAUAA
Molecule: long non-coding RNA, 4038 nt
Organism: Grus americana (Whooping crane)
Lineage: Eukaryota; Metazoa; Chordata; Aves; Gruiformes; Gruidae
Exons: 3
Source: RefSeq, a predicted model, not a curated record